Molecule: long non-coding RNA, 663 nt
Organism: Canis lupus familiaris (dog)
Lineage: Eukaryota; Metazoa; Chordata; Mammalia; Carnivora; Canidae
Exons: 4
Source: RefSeq, a predicted model, not a curated record
GGUAAUUCCACAACCCUAAGACAAUGGAAAAAGCUAACAGCUUAAUGUAAAUAAUAAACGCAGAGUUAAAAGUUACCUCACAGAUGCAGAUGCAAGAUGGAUCUUUCACCUAAAAUCAGGUUCCAAAGUCAAGACUGAUGACAUCACACACACCAAGAAGUGGCUUUGAGGAGCACUGGUCAAGUAUUUUGUAAAUUGGAAUUUGUCUGGCAUUGUUUUCCAUGGAUAACUGGACUUAUGAAUUUUGGAGAGAAAGACUAGGGAAUGAAUCAAUGGCUUACAAGUUUGUCCACUGGGGAAAUACAUCUGAUUUUUGGAUACACACAUGGAAGCACAUAUAUAUAUUUGAAUACACUCAUAUCACCACAAAUUAAUAAUCAGUAAUUGGUAACUAUAAAUCCAGUCUAAGUCUGAAAGCAAACCAAAUGCCUGUCAGCAUGAGACCAGAUAAACACACUGUGGUAAAACCUCAUGAUGUAGUACUAUUCAGAAAUCUGGAGAAACCACUACUGAAACAUGUGACAACAUGGAUGGGUCUCUCAAACACUAAAAGAAGCACAAGGAAACUCUGCAGCAAAAGAAAUGUGUUGUGCCUUGUCAAAUGUAUUGAGCUGAAUAUGUAGAAUCUAUGCAUUUUGUUGGAUAAAAAUUAAAAAAAAUAAA